UACGUAGUGUGCAAGCGUUGUCCGGAAUUAUUGGGCGUAAAGAGCUCGUAGGCGGUUUGUCGCGUCUGCUGUGAAAACUCGGGGCUUAACCCCGGGCCUGCAGUGGGUACGGGCAGACUAGAGUGCGGUAGGGGAGACUGGAAUUCCUGGUGUAGCGGUGAAAUGCGCAGAUAUCAGGAGGAACACCGGUGGCGAAGGCGGUUCUCUGGGCAUUACCUGACGCUGAGGAGCGAAAGUGUGGGGAGCGAACAGG
Molecule: ribosomal RNA, 253 nt
Filed under: uncultured bacterium
Lineage: Bacteria
Description: partial 16S ribosomal RNA
Rfam family: Bacterial small subunit ribosomal RNA
Source: RNAcentral